AACGAACGCUGGCGGCAUGCCUAACACAUGCAAGUCGAACGAGACCUUCGGGUCUAGUGGCGCACGGGUGCGUAACGCGUGGGAACCUGCCUUUAGGUUCGGAAUAACUCAGAGAAAUUUGAGCUAAUACCGGAUAAUGUCUUCGGACCAAAGAUUUAUCGCCUUUAGAUGGGCCCGCGUAAGAUUAGCUAGUUGGUGGGUAAAGGCCUACCAAGGCGACGAUCUUUAGCUGGUCUGAGAGGAUGAUCAGCCACACUGGGACUGAGACACGGCCCAGACUCCUACGGGAGGCAGCAGUGGGGAAUAUUGGACAAUGGGCGAAAGCCUGAUCCAGCAAUGCCGCGUGAGUGAUGAAGGCCUUAGGGUUGUAAAGCUCUUUUACCCGAGGUGAUAAUGACAGUAUCGGGAGAAUAAGCUCCGGCUAACUCCGUGCCAGCAGCCGCGGUAAU
Molecule: ribosomal RNA, 449 nt
Filed under: uncultured bacterium
Lineage: Bacteria
Description: bacterial SSU rRNA
Rfam family: Bacterial small subunit ribosomal RNA
Source: RNAcentral